UGAAUUUGUCCGUUGUAAAAGUGUAAAAAUUGCCGCAAAAAGCCAUUUUCUAACUUGAAGUAAAAAAAUCGCGACGAUGUAAAAAAUUGCUGCAAUUAAAGGUUAUUGCGGCGAUUUUAUUUCCAACAGACAUAAAAUCGCCGCAAAAAGCAUUAUUUUUUGAAG
Juglans microcarpa x Juglans regia is the source of this 165-nucleotide long non-coding RNA. RefSeq lists it as uncharacterized. The record is from RefSeq and is a predicted model, not a curated record. Lineage: Eukaryota; Viridiplantae; Streptophyta; Magnoliopsida; Fagales; Juglandaceae. The transcript has 3 exons.